RNAcentral lists this unclassified non-coding RNA (344 nucleotides) under soil metagenome. Its description in RNAcentral is "partial contains 5.8S ribosomal RNA, internal transcribed spacer 2, and large subunit ribosomal RNA". The stretch from base 1 to 120 matches the Rfam family "5.8S ribosomal RNA", at positions 35 to 154 of the family's 154-position model. The record is from RNAcentral.
GAUGAAGAACGUAGCGAAAUGCGAUAAGUAGUGUGAAUUGCAGAAUUCAGUGAAUCAUCGAAUCUUUGAACGCACAUUGCGCCCACUGGUAUUCCGGUGGGCAUGCCUGUUCGAGCGUCAUUAUCCUCCCUCAAACCCCGGGUUUGGUGUUGGACCCAAGUUGUGUGAACAACUGGUCUUAAAGACAAUGACGGCGUCCGUGGGACCCUCGGUGCAACGAGCUUUUAGGAGCACGCAUCGAGUUGCAAGGACCUUCCGGGCCGGUCUCCUUUACUAUUUUACAAGGUUGACCUCGGAUCAGGUAGGAAUACCCGCUGAACUUAAGCAUAUCAAUAAGCGGAGGA